This 1610-nucleotide ribosomal RNA is filed under the name Nevesoporus exiguus. Its description in RNAcentral is "eukaryotic LSU rRNA". The stretch from base 661 to 1610 matches the Rfam family "Eukaryotic large subunit ribosomal RNA", at positions 1 to 949 of the family's 3401-position model. The record is from RNAcentral. Lineage: Eukaryota; Fungi; Basidiomycota; Agaricomycetes; Boletales; Boletaceae.
CAUUAUCGAACAAAAGAAGGGAGAGGAAGGGGACUGUUGCUGGCUUUGAGCAUGUGCACGUUCCUUCUCUUUCUCCUUCUCUCACCCUCACACUUGUGCACCUUUUGUAGAUCCUUGAAAGAGGAUCUAUGUCUUUUAUCAUCACUUUGAUUGUAUGUCAAUAGAAUGUAAACGAAAUGAAUUACAACUUUCAGCAACGGAUCUCUUGGCUCUCGCAUCGAUGAAGAACGCAGCGAAUUGCGAUAAGUAAUGUGAAUUGCAGAUUUUCAGUGAAUCAUCGAAUCUUUGAACGCAUCUUGCGCUCCUUGGUAUUCCGAGGAGCAUGCCUGUUUGAGUGUCAUUGAAUUCUCAACCAUGUCUUGAUUGACUUUGGGACAUGGCUUGGUUAGUGGGGGUCUGCUGGGGUCAAAAGACAUCAGCUCUCCUGAAAUUGAUUAGCAAUGUAGACCAGCAAGUCUAGCACGCAUGGCCUUCUGGCGUGAUAAUGAUCGUCAUGGGCUGGAGUGUCUGACAUGCAUCUGAUGGUCUGUUUGCUUCUAAUUAGAAUCAGAUGAGGAUGAAGCAUCUGGUAUCUAGCUUAGUUACUAGUUGGCCAUAAGGCUGGCGAACACAAGCACUCGUAGAUCAGGAUGAGUUCCUAUUUCUGUAUAUCAUGGAUUUUGACCUCAAAUCAGGUAGGACUACCCGCUGAACUUAAGCAUAUCAAUAAGCGGAGGAAAAGAAACUAACAAGGAUUCCCCUAGUAACUGCGAGUGAAGCGGGAAAAGCUCAAAUUUUGAAUCUGGCGGUCUGUCGGCCGUCCGAGUUGUAAUCUAGAGAAGUGUCUUCCGCACUGGCCUGUGUACAAGUCUCCUGGAAGGGAGCAUCAUAGAGGGUGAGAAUCCCGUCUUUGACACAGACUACCAGGGCUAUGUGAUGCGCUCUCGACGAGUCGAGUUGUUUGGGAAUGCAGCUCAAAAUGGGUGGUAAAUUCCAUCUAAAGCUAAAUACAGGCGAGAGACCGAUAGCGAACAAGUACCGUGAGGGAAAGAUGAAAAGAACUUUGGAAAGAGAGUUAAAUAGUACGUGAAAUUGCUGAAAGGGAAACGCUUGAUGUCAGUCACAUCGGCCAGGGAUCAACCUUGCUUCUCGCUGGGUGUACUUCCUGGUCGAUGGGUCAGCAUCAGUUUCGGUCGUCGUAGAAAGGCGAAGGGAAUGUGGCACUCUUCUUGGGUGUGUUAUAGCCUUUGGUCAGAUGCGGUGGUUGGGACUGAGGAACUCGGCACGAUUUCAAUCUGUGCUUAGGAUGCUGGCAUAAUGGCCUUAAGCGACCCGUCUUGAAACACGGACCAAGGAGUCUAACAUGCAUGCGAGUGUUUGGGUGGAAAACCCAGGCGCAGAAUGAAAGUGAAUGUCGAGACCUCUGUCAUGGAGGGCACCGACGCCCGGUCUAGAGUCUUUGACGACGGAUCUGCGGUAGAGCAUGCAUGUUGGGACCCGAAAGAUGGUGAACUAUGCCUGAAUAGGGUGAAGCCAGAGGAAACUCUGGUGGAGGCUCGUAGCGAUUCUGACGUGCAAAUCGAUCGUCGAAUUUGGGUAUAGGGGCGAAAGACUAAUCGAACCAUCUAGUA